Molecule: ribosomal RNA, 466 nt
Filed under: uncultured bacterium
Lineage: Bacteria
Description: bacterial SSU rRNA
Rfam family: Bacterial small subunit ribosomal RNA
Source: RNAcentral
UGGGGAAUCUUCCGCAAUGGGCGCAAGCCUGACGGAGCAACGCCGCGUGAGUGACGAAGGUUUUCGGAUUGUAAAACUCUGUCCAGAGGGAAGAAACAAAUGACGGUACCUCUGGAGGAAGCCCCGGCUAACUACGUGCCAGCAGCCGCGGUAAAACGUAGGGGGCGAGCGUUGUCCGGAAUUACUGGGCGUAAAGGGCGUGUAGGCGGCCAAUUAAGUCAUUCGUGAAACCUGCCGGCUUAACCGGUAGCUUGCGAAAGAAACUGUUUGGCUUGAGUGCAGUAGAGGGGAGUGGAAUUCCCAGUGUAGCGGUGAAAUGCGUAGAUAUUGGGAGGAACACCAGUGGCGAAAGCGGCUCCCUGGCCUGUAACUGACGCUGAGGCGCGAAAGCGUGGGUAGCAAACAGGAUUAGAUACCCUGGUAGUCCACGCCGUAAACGAUGGGUGCUAGGUGUUGGGGGUAUCRA